This 508-nucleotide ribosomal RNA is filed under the name uncultured bacterium. Its description in RNAcentral is "partial 16S ribosomal RNA". It matches the Rfam family "Bacterial small subunit ribosomal RNA", at positions 28 to 507 of the family's 1533-position model. The record is from RNAcentral.
GACGAACGCUGGCGGCGUGCCUAAUACAUGCAAGUCGAACGCUUCUUUCCUCCCGAGUGCUUGCACUCAAUUGGAAAGAGGAGUGGCGGACGGGUGAGUAACACGUGGGUAACCUACCCAUCAGAGGGGGAUAACACUUGGAAACAGGUGCUAAUACCGCAUAACAGUUUAUGCCGCAUGGCAUAAGAGUGAAAGGCGCUUUCGGGUGUCGCUGAUGGAUGGACCCGCGGUGCAUUAGCUAGUUGGUGAGGUAACGGCUCACCAAGGCCACGAUGCAUAGCCGACCUGAGAGGGUGAUCAGCCACACUGGGACUGAGACACGGCCCAGACUCCUACGGGAGGCAGCAGUAGGGAAUCUUCGGCAAUGGACGAAAGUCUGACCGAGCAACGCCGCGUGAGUGAAGAAGGUUUUCGGAUCGUAAAACUCUGUUGUUAGAGAAGAACAAGAACGUUAGUAACUGAACGUCCCCUGACGGUAUCUAACCAGAAAGACACGGCUAACUACGUG